Candidatus Wallbacteria bacterium GWC2_49_35 is the source of this 88-nucleotide non-coding RNA. The record is from Rfam. Lineage: Bacteria; Candidatus Walliibacteriota.
GGAAAGGAUGCGUCUGGUGGCGCGGCUGGUCUUCAAAACCAGUAGGGGGCAGUGAUGUCCCUGGUGGGUUCGAUUCCUACCCUUUUCC